This is an RNA transcript of Eriocheir sinensis (Chinese mitten crab), 5060 nucleotides long. RefSeq lists it as uncharacterized. The transcript is spliced from 8 exons. The record is from RefSeq and is a predicted model, not a curated record. NCBI's taxonomy places the organism in Eukaryota, Metazoa, Arthropoda, Malacostraca, Decapoda, Varunidae.
CUUGCCUCUGACGACGAACGGAAAUAGGUACAUCUGCGUUACAAUGGAUUACUUCACCAAGUGGCCGGAAGCCUACGCCAUCCCUGACCAGGAAGCCACUACCAUCGCCAAGGUUUUGGUGGAGGAGUUCUUCUGUCGUUUCGGUGUGGCUAACGAGCUCCAUUCCGACCAGGGAAGGAAUUUUGAGUCAACAGUCCUUGCUGAGUGCUGCAAGCUUCUGGGUAUCAAGAAGACCCGGACCACCCCUCUGCACCCACAGUCAGAUGGAAUGGUGGAGAGGUUUAAUUGGACGUUGGGCCAGGAGUUGGCCAAGCAAUGCAACAAUGAUCAGUCUUCACGGGAUCAGAAGCUGCCUGCGCUCCUCAUGGCCUACAGGUCUGCCGCCCACGAGACUACGGGGUAUUCACCGGCAAAGCUGAUGUUUGGACGUGAGCUGCGAUUGCCGGUGGACCUACUGACAGGAAGGCCUCCUGGAGAAAACCUUCCAAGGGACGCCUCCAGUUUUGCCCGUCAACUAGAGGAACGGCUGGAAGAGGUGCACCAUCAAGUCCGAGGUGCCUUGAAGUUCUCCGGGGAGGCCAUGAAGCGCGGUUACAAUAUGAGGGCAAGCCACGUUAACUUCAAGGAAGGAGACCAAGUCUGGCUUUACAACCCGCAGAGGAAGAAAGGACAGUCUCCGAAGUUACAGAGCCCCUGGGAAGGCCCUUACACUGUGCUAGAACGCCUCUCCGACGUGACUUACCGAUUCCGGAGAACGGAAAAGACCAAGCCGAAAGUUGUCCACGUCAACCGCCUAUGGAGGUACCACGGUCCGGGAAACUACACCUGGAACAACUACAGACACCCAGCAGCCGACGAAAACGCAAGGGACGUCCAGGACCGAGAGGAGGUCGACGACGACCUAAGCCUUCUGGACCUUUCAGCCGAGGGAGAUAACCUCCCGGCUUCGGCAGAUGUUCCAGGGACACCCCAAGAAGCGGACGACGACGAGGCGCACCAGGAGACAGACGCGCAGGAGGCACCGAGCAGAAGACAGAGACAACGCAGGCGUCCACAGCGAUACGACGAUUAUUAUGUUUUUGAUUAAUUCUCUUACGUUUGUAUAUAGUUAAGUGUGUGAUCGGGACGAUCACAAUUAAGAGGGGGGGAUAGUGUUGUGCUGGAAGCUUCCCCCGGCGACCAUAGGCCUCUAGAAGGCUCCCGGAGACACGAGCAAGGGGGUGGGGAGCAAGGCGAGCCAGGCGCCGGGCGGGAAGUGUUGCCAACUCGCACAUAUUUUUGCUACAUGUUCUUGUAUGAUCUAAAAUAUACUGUAACAUUCUAGACUGUACUGUUCUGGAUAUAUAUAGGAGAAGAGGGCGAGAGAGUCCCAGUCAUAGUAAGCUAGUGGUAAGUGAAGAGUCCGAGUGAAGUGUACUACUAGGGAAGAAUAUUAAACUACAGAAGCUGUGCAAAGUGUUUACAUAUCUCCCUCCCACGGAGUCUCCUGACGGCGACACGGAACCCAAGUAACACGUCCGGCAUAACAAUAUGUUAGAAGGAGCUGAUCAACAACUGAGUGAGCCUUACGUACGGAAGCCAAACUGAUUAGAAUCUAAUAAGUUAUUAUUCACGAGAAAAGAUGCCUUGGGUACCUGGCUAUACAGUAACCAGCAGAUAACAUUAUUUCGUCUGAUGUGGAAAUACAUUUACAAUUUGUAUCGUUUGUGGUCCAAUGUAGCGUGUUUGAGGGUCGUGCGUGUAGCGGAAAGUUCCAGUUGGCAACACUGCCAGGUGACAAUAACAGCACGCGCCAAGGCCCGAGCAGCAUCCCUUCUGGCCCUGCCCAACCAGCCCCCUAAAACACCCCAGAAGAAGAAGACGACGAAGGCUCCACACCCACGGGCCAGCGCUGGGGACCUGCUGGCCAGCGACACCCUCAGCCCCAACACUGCCAGGACAACACCUCCACCACCGCCGCCGGGAAGUCUUAACCUUCUCAUGCAGCAGAAGUAGAGCUCUCACGGGCACGUCCACCCUCGACCACGACCACGGACCCUAGGCCGCCGGUGUGUGGAGGAAAAGAGAACAAGGAAAGAACGAGGACAACAACAACACACUCAGCUUCCGCAAAGGUUGGGGCCACCUCACCUGCAGGGCUGGACAGCAGCAUGAGUGGCCAGGACAAGCAGGAGCAGACUGCUGCAGGGGGCAGGAGGGUCAGUGGUCACCAGAUGAAGCAACUGGCUGCUGGCAACUCCAGCAACAAAGGAGAGAGGAAGUUUGUGUGUCUUGAGUGUGGAAAAGAAUUAACCACAAGGCAUGGCCUCAGAUAUCACACCCUUACACACACUGGUGUGAAGAACUAUGAAUGUAAGGAAUGUGGGAAAAAAUUCAUCCUGAAGAGUGACCUUGAUAGACACACCCAUACACACACUGGUGUGAAGAACUAUGAAUGUAAGGAAUGUGGGAAAAAAUUCAUCCGGAAGAGUGACCUUGAUAGACACACCCAUACACACACUGGUGUGAAGAACUAUGAAUGUAAGGAAUGUGGGAAAAAACUCAUCCGGAAGAGUACCCUUGAUAGACACACCCUUACACACACUGGUGUGAAGAACUAUGAAUGUAAGGAAUGUGGGAAAAAAUUCACCCUGAAGGGUAACCUUGAUACACACACCCUUACACACACUGGUGUGAAGAACUAUGAAUGUAAGGAAUGUGGGAAAAAAUUCAUCCGGAAGAGUCACCUUGAUACACACACCCUUACACACACUGGUGUAAAAAGUCAUGAGUGUGAAGAGUGCGGGAAGAGGUUCAGUGUGAAGCAGGCACUCAAUCGACAUGUCUUCAGGCACUAUGGCCUUAGAGAGUUCAAGUGUGAUGUUUGUGGAAAGCUCUUUAAGACAAAGAGAGACAUUGCCAGGCACAUGAAGAUCCACUUCUGAAGUGUGUCUGCCUACAGUAGUUAUAGUGACCAAGAAGGACAAGCAGGACCCGGACGGUGACAUCAUUAUGAGGCUUGAGUACGGUCUCCUGAACUCCUCGUCCCUGGAGCUGAUUGCGCGGAGAUGGUGGUGAGCAUAGCCAAGGGGUGCAAGGAGGAGGUGUGCAAAGUGGACAUGCAGACCGAGGUGGCGUUCCUGGAUGGCAAUAACAGUUCGGUCAUCAUAGGCAAGAUCAACCGGCUUGAGGUGACAGCAAGCAACAAGGGGGAACACGUGUACCUCCCCAGCCUAAUGGUGAGCCUGGCGCCGCCCCUCGUGGUCUUCCAGCCUCCUCACCAGUGCAUCUUCCACUCCUCCGAGCUUGUGUAUAACUUGACCAACCCUCUGAAGAGCAGUGCUGAGAGCGUGUGAAGCAGUUUGCCAACCUGGUCCUGGCCCUCAUGAUGCUGUUCGCCAGGUACAAUCACUGGAUGGUGGGCGACAAGUUUGAGAGACUCGCCCCCUCACUGGUGUUCUUCAUGCUAUCCUGCCGGCUCAUCACUGAGUACCAAAUCCACCGGAAGGAGAAGAUGGACAAGGCGGCGGCAGCGGCCAAGAAGUCACCCGCCGCAGUCGCCGAAGGGAAGGACGGAGGAACAGCCGCCAACUCCAUCGCUGGCGGCUCCACAUCUACUCUCGUCUCCUCCUCCUCCUCCUCGCCCUCCUCCUCCUCCUCCUCCUCCUCCUCCUCCUCGCCCUCCUCCUCCUUUUCUCAACAUGGACGGUCGAAGGAGGAUGUUUAGUGUGGAGAUGUUUGAUUGGGGUUUGUGGUUCAGUGUUUUUAUUUUCAUUUGUGUGUGUGUGUGUGUGUGUGUGUGUGUGUGUGUGUGUGUGUGUGUGCUACCCUUCCCUCCCUCCCUCGCCCCAAUGUUUGUCUCUAGGUGUUUUUAGGCGAUAAGAUGACCUUUCAACACACCUUCUUUCUUUCCUUUAUUCUUUCCCUCUUUACAACGUUAUUGUAAGUAUACGUAACCUUAAACUAAUGAAAUACAAGUUACGUGAACCCUACCCUCGAGAUAUGUUAUUUUGAUCUCUGUACGUAUAGGCAAGAUUACGUCUCUUAAACUAACGAUAUAUAAGUUAUGUCAACCUUAACCUGCGAGGUGUUUGUAUAAGUAACCUCAAUUCACUGGUAUGUUUGUAUAAGUAACUUCAAUUCACUGGUAUGUUUGUAUAAGUAACUUCAAUUCACUGGUAUGUUUGUAUAAGUCACCUCAAUUCACUGGUAUGUUUGUAUAAGUAACCUCAAUUCACUGGUAUGUUUGUAUAAGUAACCUCAAUUCAUUUCAUAUGUUGUAUGUUACUGUGAUCUCUAUGUAUAGUGAAGAUUACAUCCUUUAAACUAGCAAAAUAUAAGGUACACCAACCUUACCUUUGAGAUGUUUGUAUGAGUAACCUCAAUUAACUCGUAUGUCGUAUGUUACUUUGACCUGUACGUAUAGAGAAGAUUAUGUCAUUUAAACUACCAAAAUAUAAGUUACGCCAACCUUACCUACGAGAUGUUUGUAUAAGUAACCUCAUUUCAUUUCAUAUGUUGCCUUGAUCUGUAUGUAUAGGGAAGAUUACAUCAUUUAAACUGAUGGAAUAUAACUUGUCAACCUUACUUACGAGAUGUUUGUUUAAGUAACUUCAAUUCACACUUUGAUCUCUGUACGUCGAGGCAAGGUUACGUCAGCCCAGCACUCACUGUUUGCUUAUUUCUCGUCUUUACGUAGACGUAACACUACGAUCCUUGUAUUGCUGUAAGACUUGUGUUGUGGAGAGGAAGUAUUGCUGUAGGACUUGUGUUAUGGAGAGGAAGUAUUGCUAUAGGACUUGUGUUGUGGAGAGGAAGUAUUGCUGUAGGACUUGUGUUGUGGAGAGGAAGUAUUGCUGUAGGACUUGUGUUGUGGAGAGGAAGUAUUGCUGUAGGACUUGUGUUGUGGAGAGGAAGUAUUGCUGUAGGACUUGUGUUGUGGAGAGGAAGUAUUGCUGUAGGACUUGUGUUGUGGAGAGGAAGUAUUGCUAUAGGACUUGUGUUGUGGACAGACAAACAACGUAAUAUAAUCUUAUAAGGGAAGUAAGAGUGUUAUAAAAAUUGCAACAGUUUGUCAGAAA